GGGCCCGUGGUCUAGCCUGGACAAGACACAGGCCUGCGGAGCCUGCAACCCGGGUUCGAAUCCCGGCGGGCCC
RNAcentral lists this transfer RNA (73 nucleotides) under Hadesarchaea archaeon. RNAcentral's name for it is "tRNA-Arg". It matches the Rfam family "tRNA". From Rfam's summary of the family: Transfer RNA (tRNA) molecules are approximately 80 nucleotides in length. Their secondary structure includes four short double-helical elements and three loops (D, anti-codon, and T loops). The record is from RNAcentral. Lineage: Archaea; Methanobacteriati; Hadarchaeota (SeqCode); Hadarchaeia (SeqCode).